Molecule: ribosomal RNA, 315 nt
Filed under: Hyphomicrobiales bacterium
Lineage: Bacteria; Pseudomonadati; Pseudomonadota; Alphaproteobacteria; Hyphomicrobiales
Description: bacterial SSU rRNA
Rfam family: Bacterial small subunit ribosomal RNA
Source: RNAcentral
CAACUUGAGAGUUUGAUCCUGGCUCAGAACGAACGCUGGCGGCAGGCCUAACACAUGCAAGUCGAACGCCGUAGCAAUACGGAGUGGCAGACGGGUGAGUAACACGUGGGAACGUACCCUUUGGUUCGGAAUAACUCAGGGAAACUUGAGCUAAUACCGGAUAAGCGCGAAAGCGGAAAGAUUUAUCGCCGAAGGAUCGGCCCGCGUCCGAUUAGCUAGUUGGUGAGGUAAUGGCUCACCAAGGCGACGAUCGGUAGCUGGUCUGAGAGGAUGAUCAGCCACACUGGGACUGAGACACGGCCCAGACUCCUACGG